This 497-nucleotide ribosomal RNA is filed under the name uncultured bacterium. RNAcentral's name for it is "partial 16S ribosomal RNA". It matches the Rfam family "Bacterial small subunit ribosomal RNA", at positions 28 to 507 of the family's 1533-position model. The record is from RNAcentral.
GAUGAACGCUGGCGGCGUGCCUAAUACAUGCAAGUCGAGCGAACGGACGAGAAGCUUGCUUUUCUGAUGUUAGCGGCGGACGGGUGAGUAACACGUGGAUAACCUACCUAUAAGACUGGGAUAACUUCGGGAAACCGGAGCUAAUACCGUAUAAUAUUUUGAACCGCAUGGUUCAAAGGUGAAAGACGGUCUUGCUGUCACUUAUAGAUGGAUCCGCGCUGCAUUAGCUAGUUGUUAAGGUAACGGCUUACGAAGGCAACGAUGCAUAGCCGACCUGAGAGGGUGAUCGGCCACACUGGAACUGAGACACGGUCAAGACUCCUACGGGAGGCAGCAGUAGGGAAUCUUACGCAAUGGGCGAAAGCCUGACGGAGCAACGCCGCGUGAGUGAUGAAGGUCUUCGGAUCGUAAAACUCUGUUAUUAGGGAAGAACAUAUGUGUAAGUAAAUGUGCACAUCGUGACGGUACCUAAUAAGAAAGCCACGGCUAACAACGUG